AAUUUCUUUGCAUUAGAUGUCCCUAUUGCCUUGAAUGUUAUCAUAAGAAAAUAAAAAUAGUUCCCAUCUCUCCACACGUGAGCCUCAGAAAUAGCUCACCUAAUUAACAUCUUCCUGUGCAUCUGCAGGAAACACCACCUGCAGGAGAGGUCUGUACAAGAAAAUACACAUUUUCAUCACUGGAAUUAUUAUUAACUGGAGUACACAAUUUACAGCGCUUGCUCUUUAAAACUCAGUAAUAUGGGAAUAAGAGACUCUUCUUCUUCAUAACCAUUUUAUAUGUUAUCUUUCUGCUGGGGGGAAGGGGGUUAAUGUUAUCUAUGAAAGGUCUAAGAA
This is a non-coding RNA of Ceratotherium simum simum (southern white rhinoceros), 336 nucleotides long. NCBI's taxonomy places the organism in Eukaryota, Metazoa, Chordata, Mammalia, Perissodactyla, Rhinocerotidae. The record is from RefSeq and is a predicted model, not a curated record.